Molecule: ribosomal RNA, 415 nt
Filed under: uncultured bacterium
Lineage: Bacteria
Description: bacterial SSU rRNA
Rfam family: Bacterial small subunit ribosomal RNA
Source: RNAcentral
UGGGGAAUUUUGGACAAUGGGCGCAAGCCUGAUCCAGCAAUGCCGCGUGUGUGAUGAAGGCCUUCGGGUUGUAAAGCACUUUUGGUAGGAACGCGGUACCUGCAGAAUAAGCACCGGCUAACUACGUGCCAGCAGCCGCGGUAAUACGUAGGGUGCAAGCGUUAAUCGGAAUUACUGGGCGUAAAGCGUGCGCAGGCGGUUUUGUAAGACCGAUGUGAAAUCCCCGGGCUUAACCUGGGAACUGCAUUGGUGACUGCAAGGCUUGAGUGUGUCAGAGGGAGGUGGAAUUCCGCGUGUAGCAGUGAAAUGCGUAGAUAUGCGGAGGAACACCGAUGGCGAAGGCAGCCUCCUGGGACAACACUGACGCUCAUGCACGAAAGCGUGGGGAGCAAACAGGAUUAGAUACCCGGGUAGU